UAAAUCUUGUUUAGCAUGUCUCGAUUUGGUUUGGUGAUUAUUCAUUGGCUUUGGUUUGGUGAUUAUUCAUUGUCUUGCAUGUCUCGAUUUCUCCUUCGAAAUUGGAGAAGUUAGAGUGCUGCUAUUGUGGGUAUAUUGAUCUCUGAUUCCAAGCUCUUUGGUUAAAGGCGUUCUUCUUCAGCAAACCCUUCAGGCCAUUGUUGCUAUCAUUUUGUUCACGAAAAUCGGACAUGGUCUUCGAUUUCAGGUUUCGAUUGUAAAUUAUGGCGAGAAUUGCAUACCCAUAAAAUUUCGCAGACAGGCCUGCUAGGUGCUUUCGUUAUCAAAAAGCUUUAUUUUGCAAGGCACUGGACAAAUCAUGAGGUUGCUCUUAUGAUGCUCAUGGCAUACCUUUCAUAUAUGCUGGCUGAACUAUUCUAUUAUAGUGGCAUUCUCACUGUAUUCUUUUGUGGGAUUGUGAUGUCAAUAUGGAUGCCUUGGACAUUGAAAAGUGGAAAAUUUUAAGUGAUAGGUAAGCCCUUUGACAUUUACGGAG
This is a long non-coding RNA of Rosa rugosa (rugosa rose), 535 nucleotides long. RefSeq lists it as uncharacterized. The record is from RefSeq and is a predicted model, not a curated record. The transcript has 4 exons. Lineage: Eukaryota; Viridiplantae; Streptophyta; Magnoliopsida; Rosales; Rosaceae.